This is a long non-coding RNA of Pezoporus flaviventris, 4413 nucleotides long. RefSeq lists it as uncharacterized. The transcript is spliced from 2 exons. NCBI's taxonomy places the organism in Eukaryota, Metazoa, Chordata, Aves, Psittaciformes, Psittacidae. The record is from RefSeq and is a predicted model, not a curated record.
AUGCAAUUGGCCUUCAGGGCUGCAAGUGCACACUGCCAGCUCAUAUCUAAUCUCUCAUCCACCAGUGCCCCCAAGUCCUUCUCCUCGUAUGUGGGCUGCUGGGUGGGAUUAGGCAAGUCCUGUCAUCACGUGCCUCAGCUUCCCCAGUUGUGUGGCUGAAGUUCAACCAUCUGGAUCAGGACAUCAAGACACCUGAAGCAAAAGUGAAGACAGGGAAGGAGAGAAGGAGGAGAAGAAAUGACCACCUAAAAGGCAGAACUUUGCAUGCAUCCAAGUUAAAUAGGAUGCGUCCAAAUAGUUCUUUCAAAUUGCAGUUCCCCCCAAGCACAGGGGCUAAUUUUUUGCUGAAUGGAGACAGUCCCUUUCCAUGGAGGUCAAACAGUCUAUGUGUGACUUUAGCUAGUUGCAAAGAAGGUGACUGACUCCUUUUCCUAAACCAUGAGGUGUGCAGCUUCUCUGGGGGUGACAUGGAGAAAACCGAGACAAGAAGGCAAAGAUCUUUUCCUCCAUCCAUCCAUCCUGGCAGGUUCUUGCUUUCUGGGAAAGCAUCUCAGGUGCAAACUUUUACCAAAAGAAAUGACACCACCCUCUGGGAUUAAACCAAACCAGCUCCUGCUCACUGCUUCCUCCCACAUCAAAGGAUAAAUAUAUGCCACAAAACAUGGAUUUACCCAGGGGUGCAGGAUAUACUCCAUCAUUCAAAGCCUUUCAAUAAAGGGCUUUGUUUCUUUGGAACAAACCUGCUGUCACUGAAAGAUUGGGAUAGGUUUCUCAGAUCUAUGCCAUGCAGAGUAUAGCUUGUAAAUAUGAUCUGUAGUUUCUAAAUCUGAAGUCCUUCAGUCAGAGAAGGUGAAAGAGUUAAAGUUUAUUCUCAUGUCAUCAUUAGUUUCCAGGGUUAUUGCUGCUUAGUGGCAAUGUAGGAGGGGCCUGUGUUCCUGGAUUACCCAUUUCUCACACAUAAGGAUGAUUUGAAGGAUUGGGUUUUUUUAUAUUUGGAGUUGGGUUUCUUAUUUCCUUGGUUUAUGACAAGGAUACUGAAAAUGUCAAAACUGUUUUUUCCACAGAGUUUCUUCUGUUUCAGGGGAAUAGGUAUUGAUGGCUCUUCAACUUGCAUUUGAAUGGGUAGGCUUAUCAGGUUGAACACAAACUUCCUUCCUCUGCAAUGUUAACUUUAAUGUCUAAUUAUCUUUUAAAUAACUGCUUCCCAGAUUACAAGCUUUCCCUUAGCUGCUCCGUAAUGCAGUCCUCAGGUGCUAAAUCCAUAUGUAGACACCUCACUAAGCGGCCUAAUUUUUAGAAGUGCUAAGACCUCUAGCACCUGCCUUGUCUGAAACACAGUGGUUUCCUAAUUUAGAACAGUCGUAAACUGUCCUAAAUUAAAGCAGGAAUUGAAUUAGCCCUGGCUAGUUUGGGGCUUACAGAGGUGGGAGGAAAGUGGUGAGGGAGCAGAAUUGGAGCUACCUUGUACAAAGAAGUGCCCUGGGGCUUGUUUAACACUAGGGGAGAAAAAAAAUAAGACUGCAGGCCUGCAGGAUUACAUUCCCUGUUUAUCCCUGGGGGUAGAGGAAACACAGGGUGCUUCUCUUCCCGCCUGCCCCCAUUGUUAAUGCUGGAAGAAAUGCUGUGAGACAAAGCAGGAUGUUUGAUACAGCCAUGUCCCCUUGGCAUCCCCAGACAAGCCAGUGGCUGUUCUGCCAAAGGGCAGUUGCCUUAAUACUGUACUGGGGAUGGUGGCUCUAGGCUGGCUCUCAUUUAUUUCAAAUUACCCACCAGAACUGACUUCCAGGUGCCACUGGCCUGGCUGAAGCUAGGAGUAGUGUGAAAGCCAAAUCCCCCGUUCUUUAGCCCCACUCCCUCAGCCAUAAGGAAGAGUUUACCAUGGACAUUGACCAGGUGCAGCCUGUGGCUGUGGGGAGGACCUGUUCCCCUCAGGAUGUGCCAGAGCCCCCUGAUCCUCAGCUACGAGCUUGCCCGGAUCCGUCCCAUCCAUUUCUGAUCCCACGUGAAAUUCCCACUGCUGCCGCCAUCAAAUGCAAAGGCUCCUCGUUGGAGCCACAAAACCUCCAGCUGUUUGAUAUUGUGCGGAGCAAGGCAGGGGGCAUGGAGGGACUCCGCAUGAAAGGGCGAGCUCAAAGGAAACCGGACCCUGGCAUGUCGGCAUGAUACUCAGUGGGUAACAGGCUCAGUUAAAUUUGCUCAUUCAGCCAGCUAAGAGGGAGAGUUUUCUCAUCUGUCCUGCUAUGUUUAAUUCAUCCACACAUGCCUCCCAAUUACUGCAGGAGUAAUAAACAGAAAGGCAUGUUGGGGGCGGGGGGAGGAGCUGUUUAAACCCCAGCCACCAAACCUAAGCACCCCAAAAAAGUGUGAGCAGCACACUGCUGGUAUGUGUCAUCCCGUGGGGAGCCCAUCAGCACCCUUGUUCCAAGUCCUUCUGAAUUUUAGCUCAGCUUCAGGCCUGUUUUCUGUUGUUUUGUUUAUUUUUCCUCCAGAAAUGUACACUGCAGGUGGUGUGCAUGCAGAGUUAUGCUACCAAGAGUCCAUGCCUGCUGCCUGAGUUAGGCAAAACUCCCAACAAAAAUCCAUAUGGCAUCCCUGCCUCUGUGGAAGCUCCUGCGCUCACCCACAGGUUUUUCUAGCUCUGACUCUUUGCAAAACUGGAAAAUUGAUGGAUGCAAUUGAGCUAUGGAGCCAAAGACAAGAUGGAGAAAACGCUCAUUCACAGAGGGAUCUCAAAGCUGUCUGACCAUAUCGUGAAAGAUUGAUGGUGGGUGAAAGCAAGGAUGAGGAGCUGAUGACUGUCUCAGCCCCAGAAGCGGGCUGGAUUGAGGGCAGCAGCCAUGGGCCAAGGGGACAAGAAAUUCAUCCUGUGUGUAGUGGGGAGGAGAGGAGAAAGACACACUGGGGAGCGACAACAGUGGGAAGCCCCUGGUUCAAAGGAGUUUCAACAUGAGUUUUACUUUGUUUACCCUCUUGUAAAGCUAUUUGUUACUUCGAUAAUCCAUAGGAAAUGGGAUCAUUUCUCUCUCGGCAUGUCAAAUUAAAUAAACAAAUAAAACCUUGUUUGGCUGUUGAGAAGCUUAGAAAGGAAAGUGUAUUUGUACAGGGAUUCAGGAACUAAGCAUCUUUCAGGAGCAGAAGAUUAGGAAAGAAAUCAGAGAAACAAAGGGGGAAGUGAUUCAGUCAUCAAAACUCAAGAGAGCCAAAAAAAAGAGUGGAGGGUGGGAUGGGAGGACAAGAGAUGGGCCUGACUAUAUUAGGAAAGCUGUGCUGGUGUAAACUAAACCAGCCAAUGCCAGUUUAGUUUUACCACUAGGGUCUAAGUCAGGGACAUAAACUGGGUUGUGACAAGCUCACCCUCACGCCAGAAAUACCAUUUGUGCACUGAGGUUUAUUUCAUUUCAGGAUAUAUACAUUACCCUUCACACACAAACACAAAUGCGCAUGAGGGUAAUGUAUGUAUUCUGAAAUUAAAUAGAUCUUGGCGAACCAGUGCUAGCUCUGCCUUCUGUGGGAGAGGGGUUGGCAACAGGAUUACUGGUACAGUAAAAACAAUAUAAAAGAAAUGUAUCCCCACAAAGGUAUCAUUCUCCUUCUGCGCAGUGAUAGGUAUAUUUGUAUAAAAUGUUUUACAUAUGGAUACAGAUGUGCCUAUGCUCUGUAGUAUGUAUCUACAGGAGAUGUUGUAAAGAACUACCAUUCUGUUUGUAGUUGGUUCAUUGACAGGAAAUAUUUGGACAGUCAGUAGGCUCCCAGGUGUAUGAGAUGACCCAGUUGAGGUCCAUUUGCUUUCUUGUCUUAAAAUGUUCAGGGAUUGGCAGUCAGAGAGAUCCUCUUGUGUAUGGGGAGUGUUUUACAGUGUCACUCAAUGUUUUGGGUGGAGGACAGGGUCUAUAAGAAAAUGUUUUGUUAACUGGAAAUUAUCAAAUGCAAUGGGUAAAACCAUUUGCUUGAUUAAGGAGCUCAGGGAAAUGCCCUAAAUAAAUAACUUCUCCCCCCCCUUCCUGCAGGAUCCUGCUUUCCUUUCUUAGAACUUAGACAACAACUCUUCUACAGUAUGAAACUUCUCAUGCAGUGAAAGCCAAGGCAACCACAUUUGCGAUCAUGACCACACACCUCACUGCCAGUGCUGGAUGAUGGAAGUCCUAAGACUGAAUAUAAGAGCAGCAUGAACCUGUUGUGUGCAAGAAGAGCGCCUCUAAAGACUUUUGCCAACCAAAAGCCAGGCCCCAGACCCCUGCCUCCUGCUGGCAGCGUGCUGACUUCUGCUCAGGACAGCCUUCCCAUGGGUCAGUGACUGGGCUCCCCGCAGGGGAAGCAUGACACUGGUAUAAAACACAGCACAGCUUGGCCAGUUUAGUUCCUGCUACCACCAUUAUAAUCACUGCAAAAAUAAAUACAUCUCUCUACCGAUGA